This 279-nucleotide ribosomal RNA is filed under the name uncultured bacterium. RNAcentral describes it as "partial 16S ribosomal RNA". It matches the Rfam family "Bacterial small subunit ribosomal RNA", at positions 506 to 784 of the family's 1533-position model. The record is from RNAcentral.
UGCCAGCCGCCGCGGUAAUACGGAGGGUGCAAGCGUUAAUCGGAAUUACUGGGCGUAAAGGGUGCGUAGGUGGUUGUAUAAGUUAGUUGUGAAAUCCCUGGGCUUAACCUGGGCAUUGCAACUAAGACUGUACAACUCGAGUAUGGGAGAGGGCAGUGGAAUUUCCGGUGUAGCGGUGAAAUGCGUAGAGAUCGGAAGGAACACCAGUGGCGAAGGCGGCUGCCUGGCCCAAUACUGACACUGAGGCACGAAAGCGUGGGUAGCAAACAGGAUUAGAUA